RNAcentral lists this ribosomal RNA (434 nucleotides) under uncultured Lachnospiraceae bacterium. RNAcentral's name for it is "partial 16S ribosomal RNA". It matches the Rfam family "Bacterial small subunit ribosomal RNA", at positions 341 to 792 of the family's 1533-position model. Lineage: Bacteria; Bacillati; Bacillota; Clostridia; Lachnospirales; Lachnospiraceae. The record is from RNAcentral.
ACGGGAGGCAGCAGUGGGGAAUAUUGCACAAUGGGGGAAACCCUGAUGCAGUGACGCCGCGUGAACGAUGAAGUAUUUCGGUAUGUAAAGUUCUAUCAGCAGGGAAGAUAAUGACGGUACCUGACUAAGAAGCACCGGCUAAAUACGUGCCAGCAGCCGCGGUAAUACGUAUGGUGCAAGCGUUAUCCGGAUUUACUGGGUGUAAAGGGUGCGUAGGUGGCAUGGCAAGUCUGAAGUGAAAUGCGGGGGCUCAACCCCUGAACUGCGUUGGAAACUGUCAAGCUUGAGUACAGGAGAGGAAAGCGGAAUUCCUAGUGUAGCGGUGAAAUGCGUAGAUAUUAGGAGGAACACCAGUGGCGAAGGCGGCUUUCUGGACUGUAACUGACACUGAGGCACGAAAGCGUGGGGAGCAAACAGGAUUAGAUACCCUGGUA